RNAcentral lists this ribosomal RNA (2919 nucleotides) under Staphylococcus aureus. RNAcentral describes it as "bacterial LSU rRNA". It matches the Rfam family "Bacterial large subunit ribosomal RNA". The record is from RNAcentral. Lineage: Bacteria; Bacillati; Bacillota; Bacilli; Caryophanales; Staphylococcaceae.
UAAGUUAUUAAGGGCGCACGGUGGAUGCCUUGGCACUAGAAGCCGAUGAAGGACGUUACUAACGACGAUAUGCUUUGGGGAGCUGUAAGUAAGCUUUGAUCCAGAGAUUUCCGAAUGGGGAAACCCAGCAUGAGUUAUGUCAUGUUAUCGAUAUGUGAAUACAUAGCAUAUCAGAAGGCACACCCGGAGAACUGAAACAUCUUAGUACCCGGAGGAAGAGAAAGAAAAUUCGAUUCCCUUAGUAGCGGCGAGCGAAACGGGAAGAGCCCAAACCAACAAGCUUGCUUGUUGGGGUUGUAGGACACUCUGUACGGAGUUACAAAGGACGACAUUAGACGAAUCAUCUGGAAAGAUGAAUCAAAGAAGGUAAUAAUCCUGUAGUCGAAAAUGUUGUCUCUCUUGAGUGGAUCCUGAGUACGACGGAGCACGUGAAAUUCCGUCGGAAUCUGGGAGGACCAUCUCCUAAGGCUAAAUACUCUCUAGUGACCGAUAGUGAACCAGUACCGUGAGGGAAAGGUGAAAAGCACCCCGGAAGGGGAGUGAAAUAGAACCUGAAACCGUGUGCUUACAAGUAGUCAGAGCCCGUUAAUGGGUGAUGGCGUGCCUUUUGUAGAAUGAACCGGCGAGUUACGAUUUGAUGCAAGGUUAAGCAGUAAAUGUGGAGCCGUAGCGAAAGCGAGUCUGAAUAGGGCGUUUAGUAUUUGGUCGUAGACCCGAAACCAGGUGAUCUACCCUUGGUCAGGUUGAAGUUCAGGUAACACUGAAUGGAGGACCGAACCGACUUACGUUGAAAAGUGAGCGGAUGAACUGAGGGUAGCGGAGAAAUUCCAAUCGAACCUGGAGAUAGCUGGUUCUCUCCGAAAUAGCUUUAGGGCUAGCCUCAAGUGAUGAUUAUUGGAGGUAGAGCACUGUUUGGACGAGGGGCCCCUCUCGGGUUACCGAAUUCAGACAAACUCCGAAUGCCAAUUAAUUUAACUUGGGAGUCAGAACAUGGGUGAUAAGGUCCGUGUUCGAAAGGGAAACAGCCCAGACCACCAGCUAAGGUCCCAAAAUAUAUGUUAAGUGGAAAAGGAUGUGGCGUUGCCCAGACAACUAGGAUGUUGGCUUAGAAGCAGCCAUCAUUUAAAGAGUGCGUAAUAGCUCACUAGUCGAGUGACACUGCGCCGAAAAUGUACCGGGGCUAAACAUAUUACCGAAGCUGUGGAUUGUCCUUUGGACAAUGGUAGGAGAGCGUUCUAAGGGCGUUGAAGCAUGAUCGUAAGGACAUGUGGAGCGCUUAGAAGUGAGAAUGCCGGUGUGAGUAGCGAAAGACGGGUGAGAAUCCCGUCCACCGAUUGACUAAGGUUUCCAGAGGAAGGCUCGUCCGCUCUGGGUUAGUCGGGUCCUAAGCUGAGGCCGACAGGCGUAGGCGAUGGAUAACAGGUUGAUAUUCCUGUACCACCUAUAAUCGUUUUAAUCGAUGGGGGGACGCAGUAGGAUAGGCGAAGCGUGCGAUUGGAUUGCACGUCUAAGCAGUAAGGCUGAGUAUUAGGCAAAUCCGGUACUCGUUAAGGCUGAGCUGUGAUGGGGAGAAGACAUUGUGUCUUCGAGUCGUUGAUUUCACACUGCCGAGAAAAGCCUCUAGAUAGAAAAUAGGUGCCCGUACCGCAAACCGACACAGGUAGUCAAGAUGAGAAUUCUAAGGUGAGCGAGCGAACUCUCGUUAAGGAACUCGGCAAAAUGACCCCGUAACUUCGGGAGAAGGGGUGCUCUUUAGGGUUAACGCCCAGAAGAGCCGCAGUGAAUAGGCCCAAGCGACUGUUUAUCAAAAACACAGGUCUCUGCUAAACCGUAAGGUGAUGUAUAGGGGCUGACGCCUGCCCGGUGCUGGAAGGUUAAGAGGAGUGGUUAGCUUCUGCGAAGCUACGAAUCGAAGCCCCAGUAAACGGCGGCCGUAACUAUAACGGUCCUAAGGUAGCGAAAUUCCUUGUCGGGUAAGUUCCGACCCGCACGAAAGGCGUAACGAUUUGGGCACUGUCUCAACGAGAGACUCGGUGAAAUCAUAGUACCUGUGAAGAUGCAGGUUACCCGCGACAGGACGGAAAGACCCCGUGGAGCUUUACUGUAGCCUGAUAUUGAAAUUCGGCACAGCUUGUACAGGAUAGGUAGGAGCCUUUGAAACGUGAGCGCUAGCUUACGUGGAGGCGCUGGUGGGAUACUACCCUAGCUGUGUUGGCUUUCUAACCCGCACCACUUAUCGUGGUGGGAGACAGUGUCAGGCGGGCAGUUUGACUGGGGCGGUCGCCUCCUAAAAGGUAACGGAGGCGCUCAAAGGUUCCCUCAGAAUGGUUGGAAAUCAUUCAUAGAGUGUAAAGGCAUAAGGGAGCUUGACUGCGAGACCUACAAGUCGAGCAGGGUCGAAAGACGGACUUAGUGAUCCGGUGGUUCCGCAUGGAAGGGCCAUCGCUCAACGGAUAAAAGCUACCCCGGGGAUAACAGGCUUAUCUCCCCCAAGAGUUCACAUCGACGGGGAGGUUUGGCACCUCGAUGUCGGCUCAUCGCAUCCUGGGGCUGUAGUCGGUCCCAAGGGUUGGGCUGUUCGCCCAUUAAAGCGGUACGCGAGCUGGGUUCAGAACGUCGUGAGACAGUUCGGUCCCUAUCCGUCGUGGGCGUAGGAAAUUUGAGAGGAGCUGUCCUUAGUACGAGAGGACCGGGAUGGACAUACCUCUGGUGUACCAGUUGUCGUGCCAACGGCAUAGCUGGGUAGCUAUGUGUGGACGGGAUAAGUGCUGAAAGCAUCUAAGCAUGAAGCCCCCCUCAAGAUGAGAUUUCCCAACUUCGGUUAUAAGAUCCCUCAAAGAUGAUGAGGUUAAUAGGUUCGAGGUGGAAGCAUGGUGACAUGUGGAGCUGACGAAUACUAAUCGAUCGAAGACUUAAUCA